RNAcentral lists this ribosomal RNA (1093 nucleotides) under uncultured Chryseobacterium sp. RNAcentral's name for it is "bacterial SSU rRNA". It matches the Rfam family "Bacterial small subunit ribosomal RNA", at positions 235 to 1357 of the family's 1533-position model. The record is from RNAcentral. Lineage: Bacteria; Pseudomonadati; Bacteroidota; Flavobacteriia; Flavobacteriales; Weeksellaceae.
GGGGAAUAAGAAGAGGCGUAGAUGGGGCCCCACGAUGAUCUUUGGGUCCUUGAGAGGGAGACCCCCCAGACUGAGCGGACCAGACUCACGGGGCAGCAGUGAGGAAUAUUGGACAAUGGGUGGAAGCGAUCCAGCCAUCCCGCGUGAAGGAUGACGGCAUGGAUUGUAAAUUCUUUUGUACAGGGAUAAACCUGCCCUCGUGAGGGCAGCUGAAGGUACUGUACGAAUAAGCACCGGCUAACUCCGUGCCAGCAGCCGCGGUAAUACGGAGGGUGCGAGCGUUAUCCGGAUUUAUUGGGUUUAAAGGGUCCGUAGGCGGGCCUGUAAGUCAGUGGUGAAAUCUCAUAGCUUAACUAUGAAACUGCCAUUGAUACUGCAGGCCUUGAGUAAAUUUGAAGUGGCUGGAAUAAGUAGUGUAGCGGUGAAAUGCAUAGAUAUUACUUAGAACACCGAUUGCGAAGGCAGGUCACUAAGAUUUAACUGACGCUGAUGGACGAAAGCGUGGGGAGCGAACAGGAUUAGAUACCCUGGUAGUCCACGCCGUAAACGAUGCUAACUCGUUUUUGGAUCUUCGGGUUCAGAGACCAAGCGAAAGUGAUAAGUUAGCCACCUGGGGAGUACGUCCGCAAGGAUGAAACUCAAAGGAAUUGACGGGGGCCCGCACAAGCGGUGGAUUAUGUGGUUUAAUUCGAUGAUACGCGAGGAACCUUACCAAGACUUAAAUGGGAAUUGACAGAUUUAGAAAUAGAUCCUCCUUCGGGCAAUUUUCAAGGUGCUGCAUGGUUGUCGUCAGCUCGUGCCGUGAGGUGUUAGGUUAAGUCCUGCAACGAGCGCAACCCCUGCCAACAGUUGCCAUCAUUCAGUUGGGGACUCUGUUGGGACUGCCUACGCAAGUAGAGAGGAAGGUGGGGAUGACGUCAAAUCAUCACGGCCCUUACGUCUUGGGCCACACACGUAAUACAAUGGCCGGUACAGAGGGCAGCUACCUGGUGACAGGAUGCGAAUCUCGAAAGCCGGUCUCAGUUCGGAUUGGAGUCUGCAACUCGACUCUAUGAAGCUGGAAUCGCUAGUAAUCGCGUGCCUGCUGCAAUAG